AAAAAGGCAAACCCUGGGUUUCCGUGUCCAACUUUGACUGUCCGUCUUAUAUGAAAUUUUUUUAUAAUUCAUAUUUUCAUUGUUGUUAGAUGAUAAAACAUGAUUAAUAUUUUAUGCGUGACUUGUCUUUUUAAUUUUUUUCAUAAUUUUUCAAAUAAGACGGACGGUCAAACGUUGGACACGGAAACCAGGGUUUGUCUUUUU
RNAcentral lists this microRNA precursor (204 nucleotides) under Oryza rufipogon (brownbeard rice). RNAcentral describes it as "MIR812 microRNA precursor family". It matches the Rfam family "MIR812 microRNA precursor family". The record is from Rfam by way of RNAcentral. Lineage: Eukaryota; Viridiplantae; Streptophyta; Magnoliopsida; Poales; Poaceae.